UACAACUUUCAACAAUGGAUCUCUUGGCUCUGGCAUCGAUGAAGAACGCAGCGAAAUGCGAUAAGUAGUGUGAAUUGCAGAAUUCAGUGAAUCAUCGAAUCUUUGAACGCACAUUGCGCCCCUUGGUAUUCCAUGGGGCAUGCCUGUUCGAGCGUCAUCU
This 160-nucleotide ribosomal RNA is filed under the name Paraconiothyrium brasiliense. RNAcentral's name for it is "5.8S ribosomal RNA". It matches the Rfam family "5.8S ribosomal RNA". Rfam says of the family: 5.8S ribosomal RNA (5.8S rRNA) is a component of the large subunit of the eukaryotic ribosome. It is transcribed by RNA polymerase I as part of the 45S precursor that also contains 18S and 28S rRNA. Functionally, it is thought that 5.8S rRNA may be involved in ribosome translocation. Lineage: Eukaryota; Fungi; Ascomycota; Dothideomycetes; Pleosporales; Didymosphaeriaceae. RNAcentral also lists the same sequence under 2 other names. The record is from RNAcentral.